This 465-nucleotide ribosomal RNA is filed under the name uncultured bacterium. RNAcentral's name for it is "partial 16S ribosomal RNA". It matches the Rfam family "Bacterial small subunit ribosomal RNA", at positions 28 to 507 of the family's 1533-position model. The record is from RNAcentral.
GACGAACGCUGGCGGCGUGCUUAACACAUGCAAGUCGAACGGAAAGGCCCCUUUGGGUGUACUCGAGUGGCGAACGGGUGCGUAACACGUGAGUAACCUGCCCUUGACUUCGGGAUAACUUCAGGAAACUGGGGCUAAUACCGGAUAGGAAUCCUUGCUGCAUGGUGGGGGUUGGAAAGCUUCGGCGGUUUUGGAUGGACUCGCGGCUUAUCAGCUUGUUGGUGGGGUAGUGGCUUACCAAGGCUUUGACGGGUAGCCGGCCUGAGAGGGCGACCGGCCACAUUGGGACUGAGAUACGGCCCAGACUCCUACGGGAGGCAGCAGUGGGGAAUAUUGCACAAUGGGCGGAAGCCUGAUGCAGCAACGCCGCGUGCGGGAUGACGGCUUUCGGGUUGUAAACCGCUUUCAGCAGGGGCGAAGCUUGUGGUGACGGUACCUGCAGAAGAAGCACCGGCUAACUACGUG